RNAcentral lists this long non-coding RNA (344 nucleotides) under Sinocyclocheilus anshuiensis. Its description in RNAcentral is "lncRNA (ENSSANG00000038254.1)". Lineage: Eukaryota; Metazoa; Chordata; Actinopteri; Cypriniformes; Cyprinidae. The record is from RNAcentral.
GCUUUGUGUUUCUUGUUGUAUAUUGAAGUGGCAUACUGUCUGUGCACAAAAUAAAGCUGACUAUGUCUGUGUCCACGCAGUGAAGCCGGGUCAAUGUCCCAUACCAGAGAUGAUUCCACUGUGUGCUGAAAGCUGUUUCCAUGAUGGCCAGUGUCCUGCCACACAGAAAUGUUGCCCAACCACCGGUGGCUUUGCAUGCAGUGAACCACGUGGCCAGGGAAGCGGACAGGGCAGCGGUCAGGGAAGUGGACAGGGCCAGGGAAGUGGCCAGGGAAGCGGUUCUGGCCAGGGAAGCGGUCAAGGAAAUGGUUGGGGAUGUGGUCAAGGAAAUGGUCGGCAACGUG